AUCACAGAAACUCUCAGCCAAGAACCAGCAAGAACAAUAAAAUAUUCUCCAUUUGCUUUCUGUAUUGGUCAGUGCCCAGCCAAGAAAACAAAAUUACUACACAAGAGAGGUAAAUACAAAUAUAUCAAGAUGAUAAAGAAGACCAUUAGAUACCCUUCAUUAACCAAGAAGAAAGUUUCUUACCUCAUCAGCAGCCUUACCAUCUACUUUACAGGGUUUUUGGACCAGAAUGGCAGCUACUCUGUGUGACACUGCAGCAAAACGUAAGGCAGUUGUCAAAUGUUCAUCACCCACAUAUAUCCCUGGAUAUUAAAUUGAAGUCAAAUUUUAUGAGACUGUCACCUGACAGGAUUUAGGCAUUUUUGUUUACUUUUCCCAUCUUGUAUUGUCUAUAAUAGGAUAUAUGGAAGACUGUCUAUAAGCAAAUUUAUGAUGGAGGCAUUAUUUUGCUCCACUAACAACUCAUUAAACUUAGCAAUUUUUGGCAAAAAGCAACAUGUGGAUAAGAAGUAAUUAGACCAUUUUGCUUAUUCAGGCCGUAGACUGUUUCUGAAUGCAGUUCUGAGAAAGGAUGUUAAAAGUGAUUUCAUAUAUUCAUUCUUUCUUUCAUUUAUUUCAAGAAGUGCCUACCCCUGAUAUAGGUUCUAAAACUUUUCAAUCUAAGUGCUUGCCAUCAUGAGCUACAUUAUGAAUCAUAAGGAAGGAAGGCAAUCACUAGUACACAAAUUUGCAAUAACAGCAGCUUCAUUGUAACAAGCUUUAUAAUCUAAUGAGAGUGCUUUCGAGGACUGUGCCAAUUCAAUGUAUAAUUUAGUCACUCAAAAAUACUAAAUGAGUAUCUUCCAUGUGCCAAAUACUGUUCUAGACUCCAGGGAAUAGAAAUGUCUAUGACACAGACAUGAAUAUCUAAUCCACCCUUAUAGAACUUACACUCUGGAGCAGAAACCAACAAUAAGGUUUUUUUGUUUUGUUUUUAGAUAAUAGUAAGUGCAAAAGAGAAAAAUGAGCAAGGGAAUGAGAUAUAGUGUCAGUAGGGAGCAAUUUUAGUUAGAGUGGCCAGGAAAGCCUCAUUGCAAACAUGACAUGGGAGUAAAGACCAAUCACAUCAGUGUUGAUCUUCAUAAGUUAUGGCCCUGGAACAUGAGAGACAGAAAGGCAGAGAUAAGCAAAGUAACUUUCGAAAGGUUCCUAACAAAAUGUCACCUUACCCCUGGAAAGAGACCUGUAAUGCUGUUUGCAUUUUAGCCUUUUAAUGUAAG
This 1259-nucleotide long non-coding RNA is filed under the name Homo sapiens (human). RNAcentral describes it as "HSALNT0180097". The record is from RNAcentral. Lineage: Eukaryota; Metazoa; Chordata; Mammalia; Primates; Hominidae.